GCCAGACUCCUACGGGAGGCAGCAGUGGGGGAUAUUGCACAAUGGGGGGAACCCUGAUGCAGCGACGCCGCGUGGGUGAAGGAGUAUUUCGGUAUGUAAAGCCCUAUCGGCAGGGAAGAAGAAAGACGGUACCUGACUAAGAAGCCCCGGCUAACUACGUGCCAGCAGCCGCGGUAAUACGUAGGGGGCGAGCGUUAUCCGGAUUCACUGGGUGUAAAGGGAGCGUAGACGGCCAAGCAAGCCAGGGGUGAAAGCCCGGGGCCCAACCCCGGGACUGCCCUUGGAACUGCAUGGCUGGAGUGCAGGAGGGGCAGGCGGAAUUCCUGGUGUAGCGGUGAAAUGCGUAGAUAUCAGGAGGAACACCGGUGGCGAAGGCGGCCUGCUGGACUGCAACUGACGUUGAGGCCCGAAAGCGUGGGGAGCAAACAGGAUUAGAUACCCUGGUAC
RNAcentral lists this ribosomal RNA (447 nucleotides) under uncultured bacterium. RNAcentral describes it as "partial 16S ribosomal RNA". It matches the Rfam family "Bacterial small subunit ribosomal RNA", at positions 330 to 793 of the family's 1533-position model. The record is from RNAcentral.